GGCUUCUGAGAGAGCCUGCGGAAAUGUCCGGGGGAGCUGUCCGGCGUUUCCAGGGCCUGUAGGGCGAAUACCGCCACAGGCGGUAUCCGCCGAUACCCCGGAUAAGCGGCGGAUAACCGCGAGCGGUUAUUCGCUCUACGGAGUUGGGACGCUGUCCGGCGUUUCCGG
Molecule: small RNA, 168 nt
Filed under: Pseudomonas aeruginosa PAK
Lineage: Bacteria; Pseudomonadati; Pseudomonadota; Gammaproteobacteria; Pseudomonadales; Pseudomonadaceae
Description: P33 sRNA
Source: RNAcentral